Molecule: ribosomal RNA, 693 nt
Filed under: uncultured Staphylococcus sp.
Lineage: Bacteria; Bacillati; Bacillota; Bacilli; Caryophanales; Staphylococcaceae
Description: bacterial SSU rRNA
Rfam family: Bacterial small subunit ribosomal RNA
Source: RNAcentral
GAACAGAUAAGGAGCUUGCUCCUUUGACGUUAGCGGCGGACGGGUGAGUAACACGUGGAUAACCUACCUAUAAGACUGGGAUAACUUCGGGAAACCGGAGCUAAUACCGGAUAACAUAUUGAACCGCAUGGUUCAAUAGUGAAAGGCGGCUUUGCUGUCACUUAUAGAUGGAUCCGCGCCGUAUUAGCUAGUUGGUAAGGUAACGGCUUACCAAGGCAACGAUACGUAGCCGACCUGAGAGGGUGAUCGGCCACACUGGAACUGAGACACGGUCCAGACUCCUACGGGAGGCAGCAGUAGGGAAUCUUCCGCAAUGGGCGAAAGCCUGACGGAGCAACGCCGCGUGAGUGAUGAAGGUCUUCGGAUCGUAAAACUCUGUUAUUAGGGAAGAACAAAUGUGUAAGUAACUAUGCACGUCUUGACGGUACCUAAUCAGAAAGCCACGGCUAACUACGUGCCAGCAGCCGCGGUAAUACGUAGGUGGCAAGCGUUAUCCGGAAUUAUUGGGCGUAAAGCGCGCGUAGGCGGUUUUUUAAGUCUGAUGUGAAAGCCCACGGCUCAACCGUGGAGGGUCAUUGGAAACUGGAAAACUUGAGUGCAGAAGAGGAAAGUGGAAUUCCAUGUGUAGCGGUGAAAUGCGCAGAGAUAUGGAGGAACACCAGUGGCGAAGGCGACUUUCUGGUCUGUAACUGA